CUCAUGGUAAACCAGGAAGUCAUAGUAAACCGCCCGCUAAAGUAGAUUGGGGCAUGCCGACAAAAACAAAAAAAUAUGGCAUUGUGUACUGACGAACAACACAGCAAUCUCAGAACUUCCGUAGACCUGUUUUUCACUUACGUUUAUCAUUACGCCUGUGUGGUGUUCUGUGCUCAUUAAAAACGAGCGAAAAUGAGUCAUCUUUCACCGUGCUACCUACCAGAGAUUUCAGAUUGACAGAUUUCAGCUGUCAGUGGUUUGCGGCUAUCGAGAAUGAUGGCGCGCAUUACGGUGACCAAAGAUUAUCAGAGGGGUUUUCAGGCUGAACUGUUGGGGAAUCCAUUUCGACGACAGCUGAGAAGUGAUGCGAUACCAUCGAUUUUGUAUUUUUUAUUUCCUUCACAACAAAAUGGAAGAUUCUCGAUAAGAGGUGGUACAGAAUCGGCUUCCAACCCCAACUCUGCAGGUGAAGGCAAGUUGG
Oncorhynchus kisutch (coho salmon) is the source of this 481-nucleotide long non-coding RNA. RefSeq lists it as uncharacterized. The record is from RefSeq and is a predicted model, not a curated record. The transcript is spliced from 2 exons. NCBI's taxonomy places the organism in Eukaryota, Metazoa, Chordata, Actinopteri, Salmoniformes, Salmonidae.